This 309-nucleotide ribosomal RNA is filed under the name uncultured bacterium. Its description in RNAcentral is "partial 16S ribosomal RNA". It matches the Rfam family "Bacterial small subunit ribosomal RNA", at positions 504 to 807 of the family's 1533-position model. The record is from RNAcentral.
AGAGACAGCAGUCGCCGCGGUAAUACGGAGGGUGCAAGCGUUAAUCGGAAUUACUGGGCGUAAAGCGCACGCAGGCGGUCUGACAAGUCAGAUGUGAAAUCCCCGGGCUUAACCUGGGAACUGCAUUUGAAACUGUCAGGCUGGAGUCUUGUAGAGGGGGGUGGAAUUCCAGGUGUAGCGGUGAAAUGCGUAGAGAUCUGGAGGAAUACCGGUGGCGAAGGCGGCCCCCUGGACAAAGACUGACGCUCAGGUGCGAAAGCGUGGGGAGCAAACAGGAUUAGAUACCCCGGUAGUCCCUGUCUCUUAUAC